RNAcentral lists this ribosomal RNA (371 nucleotides) under Mantidactylus melanopleura. Its description in RNAcentral is "partial 16S ribosomal RNA". It matches the Rfam family "Bacterial large subunit ribosomal RNA", at positions 2076 to 2597 of the family's 2925-position model. Lineage: Eukaryota; Metazoa; Chordata; Amphibia; Anura; Mantellidae. The record is from RNAcentral.
CGGGGAUACUCAUAUAAGACGAGAAGACCCCAUGGAGCUUCAAACCCAACUACACCCCUAGCUCUUAUAGCCCCACAACCCCCCUAGGCGCCGUGUGCUUGGUUUUAGGUUGGGGCGACCGCGGAGUACAAUAAAACCUCCACAAUGAAUGGGAACACCCCCUUAUCUGAGGGCCACACCCCCUAAGAAUUAGAACACUAACAUAAAAUGAUCCAUUACUUGAUCAAUGAACCAAGUUACCCUGGGGAUAACAGCGCAAUCCAUUUCAAGAGCCCCUAUCGACAAAUGGGUUUACGACCUCGAUGUUGGAUCAGGGUACCCCAGUGGUGCAGCAGCUACUAACGGUUCGUUUGUUCAACGAUUAAAACCCU